Molecule: unclassified non-coding RNA, 611 nt
Filed under: Penicillium flavigenum
Lineage: Eukaryota; Fungi; Ascomycota; Eurotiomycetes; Eurotiales; Aspergillaceae
Description: sequence contains 18S rRNA gene, ITS1, 5.8S rRNA gene, ITS2, 28S rRNA gene
Rfam family: 5.8S ribosomal RNA (bases 232-384)
Source: RNAcentral
UGGAAGUAAAAGUCGUAACAAGGUUUCCGUAGGUGAACCUGCGGAAGGAUCAUUACCGAGUGAGGGCCCUCUGGGUCCAACCUCCCACCCGUGUUUAUUUUACCUUGUUGCUUCGGCGGGCCCGCCUUAACUGGCCGCCGGGGGGCUCACGCCCCCGGGCCCGCGCCCGCCGAAGACACCCUCGAACUCUGUCUGAAGAUUGUAGUCUGAGUGAAAAUAUAAAUUAUUUAAAACUUUCAACAACGGAUCUCUUGGUUCCGGCAUCGAUGAAGAACGCAGCGAAAUGCGAUACGUAAUGUGAAUUGCAAAUUCAGUGAAUCAUCGAGUCUUUGAACGCACAUUGCGCCCCCUGGUAUUCCGGGGGGCAUGCCUGUCCGAGCGUCAUUGCUGCCCUCAAGCACGGCUUGUGUGUUGGGCCCCGUCCUCCGAUCCCGGGGGACGGGCCCGAAAGGCAGCGGCGGCACCGCGUCCGGUCCUCGAGCGUAUGGGGCUUUGUCACCCGCUCUGUAGGCCCGGCCGGCGCUUGCCGAUCAACCCAAAUUUUUAUCCAGGUUGACCUCGGAUCAGGUAGGGAUACCCGCUGAACUUAAGCAUAUCAAUAAGCGGAGGAA